UGGGGCAUAUUGCACAAUGGGCGCAAGCCUGAUGCAGCCAUGCCGCGUGUAUGAAGAAGGCCUUCGGGUUGUAAAGUACUUUCAGCGAGGAGGAAGGCGUUGUGGUUAAUAACCGCAGCGAUUGACGUUACUCGCAGAAGAAGCACCGGCUAACUCCGUGCCAGCAGCCGCGGUAAUACGGAGGGGACAAGCGUUAAUCGGAAUUACUGGGCGUAAAGCGCACGCAGGCGGUCUGUCAAGUCGGAUGUGAAAUCCCCGGGCUCAACCUGGGAACUGCAUCCGAAACUGGCAGGCUAGAGUCUUGUAGAGGGGGGUAGAAUUCCAGGUGUAGCGGUGAAAUGCGUAGAGAUCUGGAGGAAUACCGGUGGCGAAGGCGGCCCCCUGGACAAAGACUGACGCUCAGGUGCGAAAGCGUGGGGAGCAAACA
RNAcentral lists this ribosomal RNA (427 nucleotides) under uncultured bacterium. RNAcentral describes it as "partial 16S ribosomal RNA". It matches the Rfam family "Bacterial small subunit ribosomal RNA", at positions 355 to 774 of the family's 1533-position model. The record is from RNAcentral.